AGAGUUUGAUCAUGGCUCAGAUUGAACGCUGGCGGCAUGCCUUACACAUGCAAGUCGAACGGCAGCACGGGAGCAAUCCUGGUGGCGAGUGGCGAACGGGUGAGUAAUAUAUCGGAACGUGCCCAGUAAUGGGGGAUAGCCCGGCGAAAGCCGGAUUAAUACCGCAUACGACCUACGGGUGAAAGCGGGGGAUCGCAAGACCUCGCGUUAUUGGAGCGGCCGAUAUCAGAUUAGGUAGUUGGUGGGGUAAAGGCCUACCAAGCCUGCGAUCUGUAGUUGGUCUGAGAGGACGACCAGCCACACUGGGACUGAGACACGGCCCAGACUCCUACGGGAGGCAGCAGUGGGGAAUUUUGGACAAUGGGCGCAAGCCUGAUCCAGCAAUGCCGCGUGCAGGAAGAAGGCCUUCGGGUUGUAAACUGCUUUUGUCAGGGAAGAAAUCCUCUGGGUUAAUACCUCGGGGGGAUGACGGUACCUGAAGAAUAAGCACCGGCUAACUACGUGCCAGCAGCCGCGGUAAUACGUAGGGUGCGAGCGUUAAUCGGAAUUACUGGGCGUAAAGCGUGCGCAGGCGGUUGUGCAAGACAGGUGUGAAAUCCCCGGGCUUAACCUGGGAACUGCACUUGUGACUGCACGGCUAGAGUACGGUAGAGGGGGAUGGAAAUUCCGCGUGUAGCAGUGAAAUGCGUAGAUAUGCGGAGGAACACCGAUGGCGAAGGCAAUCCCCUGGACCUGUACUGACGCUCAUGCACGGAAGGCGUGGGGGAGCAAACAGGAUUAGAUACCCUGGUAGUUCCACCGCCCUAAACGAUGUCAACUGGUUGUUGGACGGCUUGCUGUUCAGUAACGAAGCCUAACGCGUGAAGUUGACCCGCCUGGGGGAGUACCGGCCGCAAGGGUUGAAACCUCCAAAUGAAUUGACGGGGAACCUCGCACA
RNAcentral lists this ribosomal RNA (937 nucleotides) under uncultured bacterium. RNAcentral's name for it is "bacterial SSU rRNA". It matches the Rfam family "Bacterial small subunit ribosomal RNA", at positions 8 to 929 of the family's 1533-position model. The record is from RNAcentral.